Molecule: long non-coding RNA, 2738 nt
Filed under: Marmota monax (woodchuck)
Lineage: Eukaryota; Metazoa; Chordata; Mammalia; Rodentia; Sciuridae
Source: RNAcentral
GUUGUGGGCUGUUGCAGUUUUCGCUGGUUGGAGGCUAAGGUGAAGUUGGCGUUCUCGCGUCUGCGCCCAAAUCCGCCGGCGUGGUUUGAAUUUUAAAUCAGUACUGCUCUUUUCUGGUGUCUAAACGACUAGUUUCCCGGGUUUGCGUGGAUCAACGGAAACCCCGAAGGACCAAGCUUAUCGCUGCCGCGGGUACGCGAGACAGAUGUGGCACCUUCCCUGACCCGCCAGUGCCCAGACUCUCAAUGUCCCCCCGCCCACCGCGCCCCCAACACACACACACACACACACACACACACACACUCACACUCUCCCCCCCCCCCCCCCCCCCCCCCUUUCCUCUCCUCCUCUCCAGGAAUCUCCCUGCUGGACCUGAGAGGGUUGAGGGCAGCCCCAGGAGAAGGAAAGGACCCUGGACUGCACGCUGAGGAGUCAGGAAGCAGCUGUCCCCCAGCCAGGGGCCUGCGAAAGCCGGGUGCAGACUGAACCGUUCAGCCCCAGGACAAAGUUGUUCUAACGAAGAACAACUCCUCAAAGUUGUGUUUCAGAAGUCAUGUUCCUCAAGCUACCCUAAGGAGCAUGGGUCAGUGACCAAGAGGCUAGCUUUACUUCGUUUCAAUACUAGAAUCUCCACCCGGAAGAACUAAAGCCUCAUUUGCAUAACAUGAAAAGUGCUGCUAGAUGCCAGCCCAGGAUCUUCCUGCAGGUGCAGACCAAGGUGCCUCUGCCCCUCUUGCACUCGCAUUCCCUGCCCAAAGCAAACUGCACCCGGCUGGCCUGGCCUCUGUGGGCGAUUCCCCACGGUCUCCUUAUUUGCUGCAAAUAAGUUUUCCUCUGUGUGACAGCCAUGUUUGGUGUUCUGUUCCAAUUUGAUUCCCACUAAGAGGUGGACCCAUUGAAUCUGGUGACAUUCUGACCAGUUCAAUGGCCUUGGGCAAGCAGUGAGCAUCUCGGCCUGUUUCCUCUUCUGCUCCAUGGGGAUUACACCUGCCUGUGGAAUCAUCGUGGGGUUUGGAGCACCAGUCUUUGGUGCCUCUUAGCUCCCUUCUUCCUGCUUGGGAAAAAUUUUUCCAUCCUUACUGUGGAAUUAAAUAAUUUUUCCCAGAAAACUGCCCUUUCCCACCACUCAACACCCAUAAACCAUGUUGCUAGUUCACAACUUUUUCUUAAUAAUCCUGUUCAUUAUUCUCCCACCCUUUUCCUCUGAGUUGUAUGCUGAGAAUUUUUAUGCUUAACCAUUCAAACUUUUACUGAGCACCUGCGUGCAAAGUAAAAUUUGAAUUAGUGGGCAUUCUUUAAUAUCUUCUGUAUGUUGUAUUUCUUAAAAGAAAAGGAGUUUCUAUCAAUUUAUUCUUGUUAUUUCUUCAGUCUUUCUUUACUCUUUGGAGCAAGGAUUCAAUAGCUAGGAAGAUCAUACAGCUUUUCUAAACAAUACCUUUUUUUUUUCCUGUUUUUUUUUUCUCUCUUUAAAUUCCAAACUCCUAAAGAACUAGAUUCAUCUCUUCUUCGCCUUUCCUUCUUUCUUUCUCUUGUUCAAGGUUAGAAGUCUUGUUAACAGGAAAUAAAUUCUUUCCAUCAAAUACAGCCUUCUGUUGAUUGUCUCCUCAAAAAAAAAAAAAAAAAAGGUCAGAGCUGGGUCUCUCUUGUAACCAAGUAGUCCCAGGAGCAUCUCAGCAAUUCCAGGGUUUCCAUACAUAAUAUGCUCAGGUCAGAUUAGGUUUCCUGUUUGGUGGUUUUAGGGCCUUUCUAUUUGGAUCUGAAAUCCUUCCUGUGUUUCCCCACCUGAUAUUUUAAAUGGCAUUAUUUGCACACCAUAUUCAUGGUACUUAAAAGCAGAUUGGAAAAAAUCCAAUUGUUAAUGCCCACAUCUUCUUUGUUGGGGUCCAUUAAGUCAGUUCUUCAGUGUAUGUAUUGUGGCACCUUAAUUAUAGCCAUGCGAUAUCAGAUUGCUACCAAUGAAGAAAUUUUCAUUUUUUAAUGUGGAUUAUUUGUGGGGAAAAAUUGAAUUUGACUAUGAACUUUGCUGACCUUGCCUUAGCAACAUGGGUAAAUCCAAGGUGUUUAUAGACCAUUGAAUCCUCUCUUUAUCCCCAUGGGUUCUUGGGCAGCUUAUUUCAUUGUUCUAAGCAUUCAUUUCCUCAUCUGUGAAGUGGCAGGUACCAGCGUGAGGACAGACAUGUACAGACUGCUCUGUGCCUGGUGUGGAGUGUGCCUCCAUUCGCAGCUCUUUCACUUGCUUUCCAGGCCUCCAAGAUCCGGAACCCACUUGUUUCCUAAUAGGUAUUCCCUUGUCCCUGGACUCAAGCUGCUCUGUUCAUGCACUCAUCCAGAAAUUAUCAAGCCUUAUUGUCAGUUUCCUUUGGUAGGAAAAUAUCCUACUGUCCUAUCGUCCUCUCCCAGUUGACUGUGUUAGGAUGUCCCCAGUGCCUUGCAAACACUGGCACAUCAGAGGAACUGCACUCCCUGCUUCCCCCUUGGCCCUCCAUGAAGGCUAGCUGGUGUUUAUUACGGAUAUACAUAUGUCCACCCAGUAUUCCUUCCCCCGAGAAGCCACUUUUCCUCCUCUAUGCUCAGUUCUCUGUCUUACAGGAGGGCACAUAACCCAAACCUGAACUCUCAUUCCCUGAGACUUUGGCUGGUUACCAAUACAACCUUCUCUGCUGCUUUGGUCUGGUGGACCAGGAGGGCCACUCUGGACACAGGUGGGGAGCCCACCUAUGCAGGGAGCUCUGAGAAGC